RNAcentral lists this ribosomal RNA (1149 nucleotides) under Sporosarcina luteola. RNAcentral's name for it is "bacterial SSU rRNA". It matches the Rfam family "Bacterial small subunit ribosomal RNA", at positions 61 to 1193 of the family's 1533-position model. The record is from RNAcentral. Lineage: Bacteria; Bacillati; Bacillota; Bacilli; Caryophanales; Caryophanaceae.
GUCGAGCGAACGAGGAAGAAACUUGUUUCUUCCUUUGUUAGCGGCGGAUGGGUGAGUAACACGUGGGCAACCUGCCCUGCAGUUGGGGAUAACUCCGGGAAACCGGGGCUAAUACCGAAUAAUCAGUUCCUUCGCAUGAAGGAACUCUGAAAGACGGCUAUGCUGUCACUGCAGGAUGGGCCCGCGGCGCAUUAGCUAGUUGGUGAGGUAACGGCUUACCAAGGCGACGAUGCGUAGCCGACCUGAGAGGGUGAUCGGCCACACUGGGACUGAGACACGGCCCAGACUCCUACGGGAGGCAGCAGUAGGGAAUCUUCCACAAUGGACGAAAGUCUGAUGGAGCAACGCCGCGUGAGCGAAGAAGGUUUUCGGAUCGUAAAGCUCUGUUGUGAGGGAAGAACAAGUACAGGAGUAACUGCCUGUACCUUGACGGUACCUCAUUAGAAAGCCACGGCUAACUACGUGCCAGCAGCCGCGGUAAUACGUAGGUGGCAAGCGUUGUCCGGAAUUAUUGGGCGUAAAGCGCGCGCAGGCGGCCUUUUAAGUCUGAUGUGAAAGCCCACGGCUUAACCGUGGAAGGUCAUUGGAAACUGGAAGGCUUGAGUACAGAAGAGGAAAGCGGAAUUCCACGUGUAGCGGUGAAAUGCGUAGAGAUGUGGAGGAACACCAGUGGCGAAGGCGGCUUUCUGGUCUGUAACUGACGCUGAGGCGCGAAAGCAUGGGGAGCAAACAGGAUUAGAUACCCUGGUAGUCCAUGCCGUAAACGAUGAGUGCUAAGUGUUAGGGGGUUUCCGCCCCUUAGUGCUGGAGCAAACGCAUUAAGCACUCCGCCUGGGGAGUACGGCCGCAAGGCUGAAACUCAAAGGAAUUGACGGGGACCCGCACAAGCGGUGGAGCAUGUGGUUUAAUUCGAAGCUACCCGAAGAACCUUACCAGGUCUUGACAUCCCGCUGACCGGUAUAGAGAUAUACCUUUCCCUUCGGGGACAGCGGUGACAGGUGGUGCAUGGUUGUCCUCAGCUCGGGUCGGGAAAUGUUGGGUUAAGUCCCGUAACGAGCGCAACCCUUGACCUUAGUUGCCAGCAUUCAGUUGGGCAUCUAAGGUGACUGCCGGUGACAACCGGAGGAAGGUGGGGAUGACUUCAAUCAU